This is a long non-coding RNA of Nematostella vectensis (starlet sea anemone), 1975 nucleotides long. RefSeq lists it as uncharacterized. The transcript is spliced from 2 exons. Lineage: Eukaryota; Metazoa; Cnidaria; Anthozoa; Actiniaria; Edwardsiidae. The record is from RefSeq and is a predicted model, not a curated record.
UGGGCUGAUAAGGAACAGGGCUAUUAGGAUAAUAGCAUUGUGGCAACAAUGAAAUGGUUAUCCUAUCAAUAAUGCUAUACACUGCACCAAAUAAUUAUAUACCAGACAGACUACCCUUAAAGUAUGGGUACAUACAUGAGUAGGGUACAAUGAAUUGGGAAAAAACCAGGUGAUUUGCUAGAAUGUCCAGUAGUCUUUUUGAAAUGCCGUCAAAAGUGGGUAGACUACACCCCAUAGCAACUCCCCCUUAUGGGUUCCUGCCCACUCUCUAAAACAAGUGCAUCAAGUUUCAACCUAGUCACUACCAAGGGCACUACCCACCAGGAAUAUUUCCUGCAUGAUCCACCUCAUCAAGACUGGCACCCCAUCUACUCAGUAACUAGAAGACAACAAACAAACAGAAUAAUUUGUAAAGAAAUAAGGUUCAUAUUAAAUAAUAGUCUGAUGUGUUUUAAACUUUUACAUUUUUCAAAAGCAUUCGUAUUAAAUUUAAGUAUUUUAACAAUGCAUGAGAGAAAAAUGAGAGAAAAAUUCACUUUUAUCGCAACUUCCAGAAGGGUUCCCCUUUGCUACUUUCCUCUCUCGCUACACAUGCUACUCAGUAGCUAAAAAUACAUACCUGUGAACUCUCCUGCAUUAAGUGAGAUUUUGGACGCAUUCUCCCACUCUCCCACGUGGAGUAACAAAUCUUCCGCUUUUAGCAAUUUUUAUUGCUUCCGAAAAAAAAUCAACAUUUUGCCUAUUUUCUAUAAAAAGAUACUAAUUGAAACAGUAAUUCCCCCUUGCAUAGCACAAUUUAUCUAACAAACUUGUGAGAUUUAUAUGUGAAUUUGUGUGCAAGAGCUUUCUGUACAGCAAACACCUGUAAAUGUACCCCCCCCCCCCCCCCCCCAAAUAAAUGAACAUACUCCUCCAGGUAUGAAAAUAGGAGGUCCACAUUGCUUUUCAGUCUUCUUUUAGAAAUAGGCUAAAAUAGGGUGGGUACACAAGUUGGAUUUACAUACAAAAAUGAUGCUGUCACAACACAAAAAUAAGACACACCUGGAGGCAUCCAAGUCUACCAUGAAAUGCUGAGCAGUGCACUGCUGUCCAACCCAUGUUAUCUGUAGCAUUCACAUCCUGAAGAGAUGUAACACUUAUCAAACAAAAUCCAAAUAAUAAAUUUGUCUAUACAGUAGUUAAUCAAAACUUAUAUAUUUAUCUCUAUAUAUUUAUACAUCUCCUGAUGAGUGGGCAAUUACGAAACAGGCUUGUAGAGAUGAAUGGGUAGUUCCCAUGUUUUUUCCUACAAACCAAGAUAUAUCCAACUCUACCCCUGUGUAUAAUGACACCAUGAGGCAUAACUUAAAGCAUUAAUCUCACUUAAUUUUUUUAUUAUUCACUUACCACUCCAUGCCUAAGAAUGGACUGCAAAGUGUAGGAGUUGCCAUGAGAUGCUGCAAGAUGGGCAGGUGAACAGCCUUGAGACAGAAAGUGAGUCAAUACAAGAUAUCCAGUCAAGUGACAUCCCAAGGAGGGGUGUUCCAGAAUCCCUGGGACACCACCUGGAUGCGUUUCUAGGAAGUUAUAGACAGUACACUGUAGUAAGCACCACACAUUCAAUGAGAUUACAGGCAUUAAACUACAACAGGUAAUCAGCACAUUAGUGACACAAAGUUGGAAAGGGUGAUCUCUUUGGCUGGAAAUGGUAAUUUAAGUAAGCUACAUACCUCUGUUGUCUUUAGCAUUAAGAUCAGCUCCAUUAGCAGCUAAAGCCUGCAAAUAGUGAAAAAGAAAGGCAGGCUGUUUACAAUGCAAGUAUUGUUUGUUAUGUAAACCUUAGCAAAAAUCCUUAGUCAUAAGUGCCAUCACAAUUUCAUUUAUCGCCAAUAUUAUCCUUAUACACCAAAACACAUCAUACACAGACAAGAAAAGGCACGGAGUGCACAUGUGACUGAAAAGAAGUGUAAAAUCAUACAAAUUAAACAUUGCAGCU